Pseudoliparis swirei is the source of this 784-nucleotide long non-coding RNA. RefSeq lists it as uncharacterized. The record is from RefSeq and is a predicted model, not a curated record. NCBI's taxonomy places the organism in Eukaryota, Metazoa, Chordata, Actinopteri, Perciformes, Liparidae. The transcript is spliced from 4 exons.
UGACACAGACUGAGGUUGAUGAAGAAGUCUUUGAUUUCCUCGUGAAAAAACAAAACCUAGGUGUGCUCGAGAAGGUCCAAAUUCAGAUGAUUGCCUGAGUUCCCCUGCAAGCAGCUCCUUUACCAGCUCCAGUGGGGAUAUUGAUGGGGACUCUGAUGACACUGUAAUAUUGCAGUGCAGUCCUGCCACAAGACGGAGAGCUGAAAACCUCUCUUGCCAAAAUGAUUGAAGAUGUUCUAAAGAACAAACCUGGCGGAGAGAGGAUCAUCAAUGAGUAUGCUCGGACAAAAGGUAUUAACAGACGGCAGGCGGAGCGACAUGGUCAAGAUAUUGGUUGCACAAAUAACAAGUGAACAUGGGACAAGUCCUUCAAGGCGUGUCAAAGAGGACCACGCAAAGGGGAUCAUCAACUUGUUCCCAUACCUGGCUGAUCCAAGGAGCAAGUUUGGUUAUGUAAGUACAGAAAACAAUUAGUCCUACCUAUUUAGUCUUCACUUCUAAACUCAACAGUUUUCGAGCAUGAUGUACAGCUAGAUUUAAAAAAUAUGUAUAUAUUAACUGCUUGGCUAUGGUUUGAGAAAAACUAAAGAUGUUAACAUUCAUGCAUGUCCACCAUCUCUGCCGUUUUUCCUUAACUGAUAAUUUAAAACCCUCUUGAGUUUAGCAGUCCAGUCUUGAGCAAGUUCAGCUCAGCUGCUGCAUUUUUUAGAUUUAAGUGUUAAAAUAUUUUAUCCUGCUAAUUCAAACUUGUUGAAAAUAACAAUUCAUUUCACUCUGAAUAAUA